AACAGCUCCUCAAUAUUUACCAGGUUGGCCUUCUGAAUGUCGACGGGUUUUAUGAUCCUUUUCUAUCCUUCAUUGACAUGGCUGUCAGCGAAGGAUUCAUAGCGGAGGAUGCGCGGCGCAUUAUCAUCUCGGCUCCAACUGCCAGGGAGCUAGUUCUGAAGCUUGAGGAGUAUGUUCCCGAGUACGAGGUCGGCUUGGUUUGGGACGAU
This 209-nucleotide unclassified non-coding RNA is filed under the name Hevea brasiliensis (rubber tree). Lineage: Eukaryota; Viridiplantae; Streptophyta; Magnoliopsida; Malpighiales; Euphorbiaceae. The record is from RNAcentral.